This is a long non-coding RNA of Callithrix jacchus (white-tufted-ear marmoset), 3625 nucleotides long. RefSeq lists it as uncharacterized. Lineage: Eukaryota; Metazoa; Chordata; Mammalia; Primates; Cebidae. The record is from RefSeq and is a predicted model, not a curated record.
GCGAGGUCCGCGUUGGGAGGGACGCGCGGUGAGGAGAGGGCUGGCGGGGAAGGACACGACCCCCAGACGGGUCUGAGAACCUGGCAGGGGCACCGCCUGCACUCCAGAGUCAGGCCCCCGACGCGGCGGAGCUCCUUGUGUUCCUUUUCGCAGCAGCUUCAGAGUCCUCCGACCUGAGCGAGUGGAGGACACUCAGGAGGGUGACCUUUGGCGGACCCUAGUUGGAAACGACUUUCAGGGGAGUUUUUUUUCUUAUCAUUGUCCUGGGUGGGGAGGUGCAGUCAGAAAUGAGCAGGCCGAAUCUGGGAGAAACUGGGGUUUGUCCCAAGUCGACUGUCUCCCUUUAGCCCUGCCUUUCACCCACAGGAGGCCUCUGUUGCCUGAACUUAAGAAAAGGAUCAAAUAAGUAAAACAGAUUGUCCUCUUUGCCUCCCAUGCUGUCGCCGUUGCCUACAGAACAAGCUUGUUCCACAACAUUGAGCCCAGGCCUUGCAUCUAGUGGGCGCCAGGAGGUAGUUGGGGCCUGAUCUAAAGCGAGAUUAAUUACCAAAGAGCAGGAGGUAUUGUUGAGAAACCCCUGCGUCAUACCUUUUGGAGGGCGCUCCGGCUCUUGUAUUCAUUUUUUCUCAGCUCAAGAUCAUGAGAAGUACAACUUCAACUGAAGUCAGUUUGUCAGAAACAUCGAUCUGUUGCUUCAUUCCUUGGACCUAACUGGUGGCUUCAUAGUGCCUGGUUUUCACAGUACCUUGUAUGCACCGGAGGCACCCAGUAAAUACCUGUUGAGUGGAUACUUCUAUUGUCUUUAUUAAAAGAAAAAGAUUUCUAUUACUUCCUUAAUAUUUUGUGACCUGAACCCCUUUUGCUCCCUGAAUACACUUGAUUUAUUAGUCUAAAAUAAAUUACAUAUUUUUUUUAAAAAAGGGAAAAAUGGUAGAUGAAUUUUUAUCGUUUUUAAGUAUCAAAUUCCUCCUCCUUGGUAACACCAGUUAUAUGGGGUCAUCACUCCUACCUCUGGAGGUUGAUGGGCAGAGUCAGAAUUCUGGCAUUAUUAAAGCAAUUGUAUUUCCCGAAUUUAAUUAGACUUGUUUUUCUACUGGAGUUAGAGAACAACAAAGUGUUCCUUUGUUGUGUUUAUAUCUUCCACUGUUUCAUUACCCUACUGUCUGCCUUUCUGGCUUUGUACUCAGAAGAGCAUUUAUUAAUGUACUAAUAACACUGACAAUUUCUUUCUUAAAGACCACCCUCUCCCCUUCCUUGGGAUGUCAUUGCUCUUAUCCAGGGUAAUGAAACCCAUCCUGUUUCCACUCAGUUUCUAGCCCUAAUGAGUGUCAUUGAUUCAGGUGUUUGACCAACAAGUGAUAUAUAGAUGUGUCACUUUACAAAAGAUACAUUCUGAAGAAUGUGUUGUUAGGGCUUUUGUGUGAACAACAAAGAGUGUACUUACACAAAUACAUGGUAUACACCUAGGCUAUAUGGUAGAACCUAUUGCUUCUAGUCUACAAACCUGUUCAACAUGUUAUUGUCCUAAAUACGCAAAUACCACUGUGUUACAACUGCCUAUAUAGUUGGAACACAAUGGUAUUUGUGUAUCUAAACAUAGAAAAGGUACAGUAAAAAUACACAUCAAACACUUAAAAUGGUCCACCUAUAUAGGGCACUUACCAUGAAUGGAGCUGGCAGGACCGGAAGUUGCUGUGGGUGAGUCAGUGCGUGGUGAAUGAAUGUGAAAGACCAAGACAUUGCUGUAUACCAUGGUGGACUCUAGAAACACUGUACACUUAGGCUACAUGAAAUUUCUGAAAAAAUAUUUUUCUUUCUUCAAAAAGAAGAAUAGCUUCCUGUAACUUCCUGUAACUUCUUAGCUUCCUGUAACUUUUUUUCUUUUUUUUUUUUUUUUUUUGUGAUGGAGUCUCGUUCUGUCGCCAGGCCAGAGUGCAGUGGCGCACUCUUGGCUCACUGCAACCUCUGCCUCUUGGGUUCAUGUGAUUCUCCUGCUUCAGCAUCCCAAGUAGCUAGGAUUACAGGCACACGCCACCAUCUCCAGCUAAUUUUGUAUUUUUAGUAGAGACAGGGUUUCACCAUGUUGGCCAGGAUGGUCUCUAUCUCUUAAUUUCGAGAUCCACCCACCUCGGCCUCUUGAAGUGCUGGGAUUACAGGCGUGAGCCACCGCACCCGGCCAGCUUCCUGUAACUUUUUUACUUAAGCUUUUGAAUUCUUUUUAACUUUUGACUCUUUUAUAGUAACACUUGGCUUAAAACACAAGCAAGGCUAGGCAUGGUGGCUCAUACCGUAAUAUGCAGCACUUUGAGAGGCCAGACAAGAGGAUUGCUUGAGACCAGCCUGAGCAACAUAGUGAGACCCUAUCUCUAAAAAAAAAUUUUUUUUAAUUAGUUGGGCAUGCUGGUUCAUGCCUGUGGUCCUAGCUACUGGGGAGGCUGAGGGAGGAGGAAUGUUUGAGACCAAGAGUUCCAGGUUGCAGUAAGCUAUGAUCAUACCACUGUACCCCAGCCUGGGCAACAGUGAGAUACUCUCUUCAAAAAUGAAACAAGUCCAGUGGCAGAGUCUGGGAAGGAGGCUGCAGGUGCUAUGUCCACCUUCAUAGGUGGCAGGAAGAAGCCCCGGAAACAGCCCAAGAAGCAGGCCAAGGAGAUUGAUGUGGAAGAUAAGUUUUUUAAACAAAAAGAGUAGAUGAAACUGGAGGAUCUAAAGGCAAAGGCCACAGGGAAGAGGCCCUUGGCCAUAAGUAGAAUUAAGAAAUCUGGCAAAAAGCAAGCUAUUCCAUGUGCCUGAGGCAGUCGACAGUGACCCUUGAUUCCAUUUGUAUUUAAACAUCUGGAUUACCUGCUAUAACAUCUUUUUUUUUUUUUUUGACAUGGACUCUCACUCUGUCACUCGGGCUAGAGUGCAGUGACACAAUCUUGCUUACUGCAACCUCUGCCUCCCGGAUUCAAGCAAUUCUCCUGCCUCAGCUUUCCGAGUAGGUGGGAGGGUGCCUACCAUCACACCUGGCUAAUUUUUGUAUUUUUAGUAGAGAUGGGGUUUUACCAUGUUGGCCAGGCUGGUCUUGAACUCGACCUCAAGUGAUCUGCGUGCCUCAGCCUCCCAAAGUGCUGGGACUACAGGUGUGAGCUGCUACACACGGCCCCCUGCUAUAACAUCUUUUGCCACUUGUAGUCAGAAUGAAGUGUUGUCCUGGAGCCUGUUGUACAUUGUACAUGUAAGAAUAUUUGAGAACAGAUCAAAACACAGACACACAUUGUACAGCUGUAUGAUUUUUUUUUAAAGAGACAGAGAGUCUUUGUCACCCAGUCUGGAGUGCAGUGGCUCCAUCAUAGCUCACUACAGCCUUGCCAAGGCUCAAGGGAUCCAUCCACCUCAGCCUCCCACUAGAUAGGACUAUAGGCGUGCAUCACUACACCCAGCUAAUUUGUUGUUGUUUUGAGACAGGGUCUCGCUUUGUUUCCCAGGCUGGUCUCCAGCUCAUGGCCUCAAGCAGUCCUCCCACCUUGACCUCCCAAAGUGCUGGGAUUACAAGCAUGAGCCACCUCACCCAACUCAUUUUUUUUUCGUUAUAUCCUAUCCUGUAAGUUUUUUUCCACUUAAAUUUUUGUUUAACUUUUUUAAC